UGUCGGUACGUCAAAACAGCAAAAGUAUUAAUUUACUGCCCUUCCUCCCAACUUAAAGUGCUUUACAAUCCGAAGACCUUCUUCACACACGCGGCAUGGCUGGAUCAGGCUUUCGCCCAUUGUCCAAUAUUCCCCACUGCUGCCUCCCGUAGGAGUAAUC
Molecule: ribosomal RNA, 160 nt
Filed under: uncultured Pseudomonas sp.
Lineage: Bacteria; Pseudomonadati; Pseudomonadota; Gammaproteobacteria; Pseudomonadales; Pseudomonadaceae
Description: partial 16S ribosomal RNA
Source: RNAcentral